UACGAAGGGGGCUAGCGUUGCUCGGAAUCACUGGGCGUAAAGCGCACGUAGGCGGACUCUUAAGUCGGUGGUGAAAUCCUGGAGCUCAACUCCAGAACUGCCUUCGAUACUGGGAGCCUUCGAGUCCGAGAGAGGUGAGUGGAACUGCGAGUGUAGAGGUGAAAUUCGUAGAUAUUCGCAAGAACACCAGUGGCGAAGGCGGCUCACUGGCCCGGUACUGACGCUGAGGUGCGAAAGCGUGGGGAGCAAACAGG
This 254-nucleotide ribosomal RNA is filed under the name uncultured bacterium. Its description in RNAcentral is "partial 16S ribosomal RNA". It matches the Rfam family "Bacterial small subunit ribosomal RNA", at positions 524 to 776 of the family's 1533-position model. The record is from RNAcentral.